This is a long non-coding RNA of Notothenia coriiceps (black rockcod), 678 nucleotides long. RefSeq lists it as uncharacterized. Lineage: Eukaryota; Metazoa; Chordata; Actinopteri; Perciformes; Nototheniidae. The transcript has 3 exons. The record is from RefSeq and is a predicted model, not a curated record.
GCUGACUAAAUACUUUUUUGCCCCACUGUAUGUAGUAAAACGAGUACCAGUAAAAAAAACUGCACUUUAAAAUCAGACCAAUAUUUUCACAAGUUGAUAUCAUGAUGUCGAUUAAACAGACCUAUACGCUGCUGCUUCAAAGGGACAGUUAGUUAUCGAAGAUAGUGGCACUUACAGCUCUGUGUGUGUGUCCUAGCUGUUCCCACAGAUUGAGGAGACGAUGGUGCAGCCACUCAGAGAGUCAAGAGACCGGUAUGAAGAACUCAAACAGAUUGAUGACGCCAUGAAUGAGGUGCAGAAAAUGAAAAAUGAGAACUUGACCAUGGGAGGGAAGAAGUAAGAGGUUUUAAAAAGCAGUGAGUGGGCAGACCCCUCGCUCCGUCAUGGCUGCAGGCUCUGGUCCCAGCGCUGCAGGAAGACGUGAUGGAGAGGAUCUGAGACAGCAACUGUGAGACAACGUUACAAACCAGCAGGGACUCCACGACCGGACAGACAAUCCAAAGCCUUUUCAGGAAGCGUCCACAUUUGUACAGCACAGACUACUUCAGUGAACUAUAUUGAGAUACAUUUCUUGCAUUGUAUUUUAUUUGAAAUGUGUUGUUUUUUACAGAUUGUACAGAUUUUUAGUGACCCUUGUUCUUUCCUACAACAAUUAAAUGGAUUUCUUUAAUUACAAAA